UACGGAGGGUGCAAGCGUUGAUCGGAAUUAUUGGGCGUAAAGCGCACGCAGGCGGCUUGGUAAGUCAGUUGUGAAACUCCCGGGCUUAACUUGGGAACUGCAGCUGAUACUGCCAUGCUUGAGUACGGAAGAGGGGAGUGGAAUUCCCAGUGUAGAGGUGAAAUUCGUAGAUAUUGGGAGGAACACCGGUGGCGAAGGCGGCUCCCUGGUCCGAUACUGACGCUCAUGUGCGAAAGCGUGGGGAGCAAACAGG
RNAcentral lists this ribosomal RNA (253 nucleotides) under uncultured bacterium. RNAcentral's name for it is "partial 16S ribosomal RNA". It matches the Rfam family "Bacterial small subunit ribosomal RNA", at positions 524 to 776 of the family's 1533-position model. The record is from RNAcentral.